RNAcentral lists this long non-coding RNA (1622 nucleotides) under Helianthus annuus (common sunflower). Its description in RNAcentral is "hypothetical non coding rna". Lineage: Eukaryota; Viridiplantae; Streptophyta; Magnoliopsida; Asterales; Asteraceae. The record is from RNAcentral.
AUGAUGGAUUGAAAACCCACUACUAACUGUGCUUCAACCCUUUUAUCGGAAGCACAACCACUUGGGUUCGAAUGAGGGGGAGUGCAGUACAGAGACCUUCCUCACACCUCGUGAAAACUUAAUCCCGAUUGUCAGGCUCGAACCCGUGACCCCGGUCAGGAACCCCACCAAGGUGGGUAAAUCUUACCACCUCACUUGCAGUUAAUGGGGAUCGAACUUGAGCCUCCUUUGAAAACUCAAGCACUUUCCAUCACUGGACCACAAGUUCAUUGGCGUUUUAAUAUUAUGUGAUUCCUCUCCUUUUUCUCAAAUGGAGUUUUAAUUUUGUUAUCAUACUCACAUGAUACUUUGAUUUAUUAAAAUUAAUUACUUAUAAAUAGUUUAACAUUUAUAUACUAGAUUUUAAAAAUAAAAGUUGGUCCUUACACUUUUUAAAUUGAUACCUACACCCCAUAUUCUUUAAGUAAGUUAAACAUUCACUUCUAAUUUUUGGUAAUUGAUAACUUUGAUUCGCUAACCAUUUCUACUUAUAACUUGACGUCUCAUUUUCUUUGAAUUGCUUUUACGAUUUUAGACCGUAGCGUGUCAUACAUUACAAUACUUUUGUAUAUCUAUGUCUAACCAUGUUAAUGUCUAAAUUACUUUUACGAUUUUACAUGGUUGUUGAAAAUACUGUUGCAACUUUACACCGCAACGACUGAGACAUACUUUUUUUUAUUUAUUUCAAAUGACGUUAAUGUCAUGAACGUACCGUCUGUAAUAAAGUACAAAAACGCCUAAUGUUACGUGCAGGUAUUACACGUUAAUGCUGUCAUCGUACACUGUAAGCGCAACACUUAUAUAGGUUACACCGAGUUAGAUCAGAUACGUCAAAACACGUGUUUUCAUAUGGCUAACACAUUACAUAACGUGCCGUCUACAUCUUACCCUCCUCACACCCUACCUUUGUUUUGCUAUUGGUGGGUUUAUUGAGUAUGAUGAUGAUGAUGCCGUCAGCUAUAAACAACUAAGGUACCACACCUUAACGAGUGGCGUAUGCCGGUUUUGACGUACCCGUCGGUUUAAAUUCACGUUUCAACGUAAACGUCUCACGUUGUGACAUAAACUUUCACUACUACAAAAAGAGGCAUUUGCUAUGAAAUUUUGCUACGGAAAAAAAUGGUGGCAAUCUUUGCUACGAGUUAGCUACGGAUUAGCUACGAACACAUUUUGCUAGGAAUUAGCUACGGAUUAGCUACGAACUUCCGUCGCAAAUGAAUUUCGUAGCAAAACUCAUAGCAAAUCCAUAGCAAAAUUGACAAAAUUAAUAUAAACCAUAUAAUGUAGCAAAAGAGGUAGCAAAAUCCGUAGCAAAACCAUGAAAAUAAGUAUUUAGAAAUAAACUAAAAAAAGUAAAAUAAAAUCUGUAGCAAAAUCGAUAGCGAAAUUGUGAAAAUAAAUAUAAUAAAAAAACUUAGUAAAAUUGGUAGCAAAGUCCUUAGCUAAAUCAUAAAAAUAAAUAUUUAAAAACUAACUAACUGAGGUUUAAAAAAACGGUAGCAAAAUCGGUAAGUAAAUAGACUUAGUAGAGAAAUUGGUAGCAAAAUCUAGAAAAAUUCUUAAAAACUAACGUAGCAAAAUCU